This 468-nucleotide ribosomal RNA is filed under the name uncultured bacterium. RNAcentral's name for it is "partial 16S ribosomal RNA". It matches the Rfam family "Bacterial small subunit ribosomal RNA", at positions 28 to 507 of the family's 1533-position model. The record is from RNAcentral.
GACGAACGCUGGCGGCGUGCUUAACACAUGCAAGUCGAACGGAAAGGCCCAGCUUUUGUGGGGUGCUCGAGUGGCGAACGGGUGAGUAACACGUGAGUAACCUGCCCUUGACUUUGGGAUAACUUCAGGAAACUGGGGCUAAUACCGGAUAGGAGCUCCUGCUGCAUGGUGGGGGUUGGAAAGUUUCGGCGGUUGGGGAUGGACUCGCGGCUUAUCAGCUUGUUGGUGGGGUAGUGGCUUACCAAGGCUUUGACGGGUAGCCGGCCUGAGAGGGUGACCGGCCACAUGGGGACGGAGAUACCGCCCAGACUCCUGCGGGAGGCAGCAGGGGGGAAUAGUGCACAAUGGGCGGAAGCCUGAUGCAGCAACGCCGCGGGCGGGAUGACGGCCUUCGGGUUGUAAACCGCUUUCGCCUGUGACGAAGCGUGAGUGACGGUAAUGUGUAAAGAAGCACCGGCUAACUACGUG